This 498-nucleotide ribosomal RNA is filed under the name uncultured bacterium. RNAcentral's name for it is "partial 16S ribosomal RNA". It matches the Rfam family "Bacterial small subunit ribosomal RNA", at positions 899 to 1397 of the family's 1533-position model. The record is from RNAcentral.
ACUCAAAUGAAUAGACGGGGGCCCGCACAAGCGGUGGAGCAUGUGGUUUAAUUCGAUGCAACGCGAAGAACCUUACCUACUCUUGACAUCCUGAGAACCUCAUGUAAUGUGAGGGUGCCGAAAGGAGCUCAGAGACAGGUGCUGCAUGGCUGUCGUCAGCUCGUGUCGUGAGAUGUUGGGUUAAGUCCCGUAACGAGCGCAACCCCUAUACUUAAUUGCCAUCAGGUAAAGCUGGGCACUUUAAGUAGACUGCUGGUGACAAACCAGAGGAAGGCGGGGACGACGUCAAGUCAUCAUGGCCCUUACGAGUAGGGCUACACACGUGCUACAAUGGGCGGUACAAAGGGUUGCGAAGCCGUGAGGUGGAGCUAAUCUCAUAAAGCCGCUCGUAGUCCGGAUUGCAGUCUGCAACUCGACUGCAUGAAGCUGGAAUCGCUAGUAAUCGCGAAUCAGAAUGUCGCGGUGAAUACGUUCCCGGGCCUUGCACACACCGCCCGU